UUUUUUGCACUUACAUACAAUUAGGUAUACACUAGGAGUCAAAAUGGUUAAGUCAUAGCAUACACUUAUUUUCAAGAUCUGUAAAGAAUACCAAAUGGCUUUUAAAUAUGUGAACAGUUUUUUGUUAUUGUUUUGUUUUAGUUUGGUUUUUAGAGAGUGAUGUGGGUGUGGUGCUACAGAACACGAUUCAGUUUGCUUAUGCUGCACACUCACUGCUGUUCUCUCUUGCCCAGGAAUAAAUCAAUCAGGAGGCUGCAGCACAGCGAUGGCAUUUAAAAAUACUGGAAGGACACCCUACAACCUGAGGUGGCAAUUUGGAGAACUAGAAUUACCCUCACCACCUGCAAUGUGAAAUUGCUGGAGAAAAAGUGUGUGCUCACUUCAUCAGAGGCACAAAGGAAAAGAAUCUCAAAGUGAAAGCAUCUGUUUGCACGCCUAUCAAGAUUAAGAAGGGCUGCAAGAAAAGCCUUGUGGUGUAGGUUCCAAGUCAUGGGAUCACGUCCACAUGAGAAUCCUCAAGUGACUCUUUGACUUGCACAGUCCUUCUGAGAUUGGUUUAAAUAAACAAAAAACAAAAAAACUCCAUCAGUAUUAAGCCAGGAGUGGAGGUUGAAGUCAACACUGUAGAUGUCUAUGCCAACAGUUGUAAAAAAUUGAUUAUCAGUUUUUAAAAAUUACAAUUUUUUCAAAGUGUCCAUUUAUGUCAGAAAUGUAUGAGAGUUCUAGUAUAUU
Molecule: long non-coding RNA, 732 nt
Filed under: Marmota monax (woodchuck)
Lineage: Eukaryota; Metazoa; Chordata; Mammalia; Rodentia; Sciuridae
Source: RNAcentral